This 253-nucleotide ribosomal RNA is filed under the name uncultured bacterium. RNAcentral's name for it is "partial 16S ribosomal RNA". It matches the Rfam family "Bacterial small subunit ribosomal RNA", at positions 524 to 776 of the family's 1533-position model. The record is from RNAcentral.
UACAGAGGGUGCAAGCGUUAAUCGGAAUUACUGGGCGUAAAGCGCGCGUAGGUGGUUCGUUAAGUUGGAUGUGAAAUCUCCGGGCUCAACCUGGGAACUGCAUCCAAAACUGGCGAGCUAGAGUAUGGUAGAGGGUGGUGGAAUUUCCUGUGUAGCGGUGAAAUGCGUAGAUAUAGGAAGGAACACCAGUGGCGAAGGCGACCACCUGGACUGAUACUGACACUGAGGUGCGAAAGCGUGGGGAGCAAACAGG